Cherax quadricarinatus is the source of this 318-nucleotide non-coding RNA. Lineage: Eukaryota; Metazoa; Arthropoda; Malacostraca; Decapoda; Parastacidae. The record is from RefSeq and is a predicted model, not a curated record.
GCGUAUCGAUGUGGGUGUACUUGUACGGGUAUGUGUCGAUUCUGGUGAUGAGCAACACAGUCUUCUUCCUAACUGGUAGCCUAUGUUCUCAUCUCUUCUCACAACGACCCCAUGUUGAAGCGAUCCAGGGAGAACAACCGCGAGAGGAUGUGGCUGUAUCUCAAGCUGUUCCUGGUGAUGGGUAUCACCUGGCUGGCUGAUGUUAUCUCCUAUGAACAUGGUUCAUGUGCUGGCUGGAUGCCGACGGAUAUCAUCAACGGUCUCCAGGGCCUCACCAUCUUCCUGGUUUUUGUCUGCAAGAGAAGCACACUCCGCAAG